GCUUGGGUAGCUCAGUUGGUAGAGCACUUGCCCGCGGAAGGCAAAGGUCCCGAGUUCGAGUCUCGGUCCGGAACA
RNAcentral lists this transfer RNA (75 nucleotides) under Schistocerca americana (American grasshopper). RNAcentral describes it as "tRNA-Pro". It matches the Rfam family "tRNA". Rfam says of the family: Transfer RNA (tRNA) molecules are approximately 80 nucleotides in length. Their secondary structure includes four short double-helical elements and three loops (D, anti-codon, and T loops). The record is from RNAcentral. RNAcentral also lists the same sequence under 3 other names. Lineage: Eukaryota; Metazoa; Arthropoda; Insecta; Orthoptera; Acrididae.